GACGAACGCUGGCGGCGUGCUUAACACAUGCAAGUCGAACGGAAAGGCCCUUCGGGGUACUCGAGUGGCGAACGGGUGAGUAACACGUGGGUGAUCUGCCCUGCACUUUGGGAUAAGCCUGGGAAACUGGGUCUAAUACCGAAUAGGACCACACGCUUCAUGGUGUGUGGUGGAAAGCUUUUGCGGUGUGGGAUGGGCCCGCGGCCUAUCAGCUUGUUGGUGGGGUAAUGGCCUACCAAGGCGACGACGGGUAGCCGGCCUGAGAGGGUGACCGGCCACACUGGGACUGAGAUACGGCCCAGACUCCUACGGGAGGCAGCAGUGGGGAAUAUUGCACAAUGGGCGCAAGCCUGAUGCAGCGACGCCGCGUGAGGGAUGACGGCCUUCGGGUUGUAAACCUCUUUCAAUAGGGACGAAGCGCAAGUGACGGUACCUAUAGAAGAAGCACCGGCCAACUACGUG
This 462-nucleotide ribosomal RNA is filed under the name uncultured bacterium. RNAcentral describes it as "partial 16S ribosomal RNA". It matches the Rfam family "Bacterial small subunit ribosomal RNA", at positions 28 to 507 of the family's 1533-position model. The record is from RNAcentral.